AUCCUUUUGUUGUUCAUAAGCGUGAUGAUUGGGUGUUCACGCGACUGCGUGACAUGUGCCUCCUUCAAUCCUUGUUACGACAGCGGCACAUUUCCUGUCUAACG
RNAcentral lists this small nucleolar RNA (104 nucleotides) under Catagonus wagneri (Chacoan peccary). RNAcentral's name for it is "Small nucleolar RNA U13 (ENSCWAG00000004915.1)". It matches the Rfam family "Small nucleolar RNA U13". The record is from Rfam by way of RNAcentral. Lineage: Eukaryota; Metazoa; Chordata; Mammalia; Artiodactyla; Tayassuidae.